CAGCCUCAAAACUGUUCCAGUAAGGGGAGGGGACCUCUAACCAAAUCUGUCUCGUGCUGCCCAGUCAAGUCUGAAGGGACGAAACGAAGUCGUCUUGUCCCCCACCCCUAACCCCAGUAAGAAAGAAUUCCAAGGGAGGUUAAAUGUAACUGUUCUUGUUCAAACCCUGACCUCCUUCCGACUGCCAGGAGUGUAUUAAGAAAGAGAGUUGGAUUCUGAGGCUGACUCCUGGGAACAAUCUGGGCCUUAUGAGAGCUAUGAUCACCUUUCUCCAACAGCCCCGUGAUCUCAACAGUCAGAAGAAACAGAAGAAAUCUGUCACAAAGACUGUACAACAAGCACUAAAUCCAACCAUAAUCCCCAGCUCCCCGGUGAUCCAAGGAGACAACCCGGAUGAACCUCAGAGCUCACACCCCUCUGCGGGUCACACUCCAGGUCCCCAGACACCACUCAACUCUCCCAAGAAUCCACCUCCGAGCCCAAGUUAGAGCACCAAGCGGGGCUUAGUCUAGCUGAGAUCCAGAUGAGCAAAGCUGUGCGGGGUAAAGGCCAUGCUAGGGUGACAUUUUAGAUACUGAUUGAAAUAAACAAGACCCUGUAUUCAGAAGUGUGGAAUAGGGAAAUGGUGGGCCAGGAGUAAAGGUAAAUUUGGGAAAAUAAACAUUGUUUGCUUGUU
RNAcentral lists this long non-coding RNA (676 nucleotides) under Rattus norvegicus (Norway rat). RNAcentral describes it as "long non-coding RNA NONRATT008444". Lineage: Eukaryota; Metazoa; Chordata; Mammalia; Rodentia; Muridae. The record is from RNAcentral.